Molecule: long non-coding RNA, 529 nt
Organism: Pan troglodytes (chimpanzee)
Lineage: Eukaryota; Metazoa; Chordata; Mammalia; Primates; Hominidae
Source: Ensembl
AGAAGGAACAAAAGGGUAACAGUGUUCUUUCUUGACAUUCCUGCCAGGUAAAUAAGCAGAGUUAAUUUCUCACUCAGGUUAAAUUGCUUUCAAAUAUUCUUGGAUGUGAAGAGAAUUUCACCUUUGCUCUUGCAACGCUCCUGUGAAGCAAGUCUCCUUAACUACAGAAACCACAUUUGGGCUAAGUUUCAAAUUAAGGAUAUCCUUGCAAUUCUAUAAUACUUGAAAUGAUGCAAGCAAUUUAUUGAGCUGGUGCAGAAAGGAGGAAGGAAAAAAAAAGACUGCCAGAAAGCCCUCAGCCACGGAGUUUCCCUGAGACUUUCUGUGAGGCCUGCAAUUUGUUUUGAGUUCCAGCUCCAACAUUCUCCAAGGGCCCAGCAAUCACCAUCACAUAUGGGUGGACAGGAAAGGGCAUACCCGAAAAACGAUACCAGCUGUGGAGCCAGCCAUGCUACACGUUUGCACCUUCUGGUCUACUCCAAGUAUUGCAUUUCCCACGUUCACUCCUGAAGGUAGUGAGACAGGUAAG